GUUUUCACCACUGGUUCCUUCUGGACACUUCUCUGGUUAUUCCCUGCUCGAUGUCUCCGUGUGCCUGCUACUCCAUGCCAGUUACCAUGUCCAUGUUCCAUGUCCUGCAUCCUUGCUGAUUUCUUUUGGAUUUUGUCAUGAUGUCACACAAGGAAGCAGUGUGUUCGAGGUAUCGUCUUAAAAAACAUCCACAGCUCUUGUUCUCAUCGCCCAGUUGGACAACCUCCGCAGUUCUAACGGGGAGCGCAGAGGUAGAAGCUCUGCCAAAUAGGACAGAGAUCAGUGUGUGCUCACAGAGGAAGUAGCUGCACCGCUAAAUACCCAGAUGGGUAUGACCCUACAGCACACAAGCAGAGAUCAAAAGCCCCAAAAAAGGUGGAGACGCCCGAAAUCCUUCAGUUGAGCGCACAGAGACCAGGAAGGACAUAUGAGCAGAGGAUGGAUGGAUGUCCUCACACUGCAGAAUUCUUUUAAAAAGUAGGACCAUCCCCGCUCACUGCAUUUCACAAGAGCAAAGAAAAAGCUCAACCUGCGCCUGCACACGGCAUAUCGGAUGGAAAAUAAAAACAACAAUCCUUGCUGCACCUACCUCACUC
Long non-coding RNA from Girardinichthys multiradiatus, 596 nucleotides. RefSeq lists it as uncharacterized. The transcript is spliced from 3 exons. The record is from RefSeq and is a predicted model, not a curated record. Lineage: Eukaryota; Metazoa; Chordata; Actinopteri; Cyprinodontiformes; Goodeidae.